GUAUGGUAGUCAGCAAACAAGACUUACUCACUGCUUGUUGAUCAACUGAAACAGGAAGUAGAGGUGAGCCCAAAGAAGGUUCUCCAAAUGCCUUCCAAUUUCAGAUGGCUUGAAUUCAGCUCCAACUGGGUUUCUGUGAGCUUCAUUAUGAAUCACAUGCAAGGGGAUACUGAGAAGUCAAUGGGCACGGAAGAUGUUCAAGCACCUUGCAGGACAAGCCUGGGGAAUCCAUUCAUAUCAUCUCUGUUGAUAAAGGCGCAGUGCAUGCUGAUGCAAGAUUUAAAGGGGCAGAACAGGAUAAAGGAUCUCUAAGGAACAGCAGAAUGGGGAAGCCAACUCAUCCCCAGACUAUAAAGUAAAUGAAUAAUUUCACUGGCAAUUGUAACACUCCAUUUAUUAAACAAGCUGUGUUAAUGGCACAGUACAGAGCAGCACAUGGUCAGUGGUGAAUGGCACUUAGUCCCUUAUAGGCUCAGGCCUGUUUGGUUUUCUCCUAGUGGAGCCAUAGACUGUAACUGUUCUCUGUUUGCUAUAAAAAGUGGAUUUAAAAUGGCAGGUAUUAUCAAAUAUACUGAAUAAAGGAAUAUAUUGCAUGAAGACGCACCAUUCAUGGCACUUCUUGUGAAUGCAGAACAGCUCAGCUUUGCUUGGCAAUUCUCUCCCCACCACAUUAAAAGGAGGCACUCUCAUACCACAAAUCAACAAUUAAGCAAUUGUAAUAGAAGGUAUCCAGCCUCUUGGAAUACUAACUCUGAAAUUUAUGACUGUUUAUAACCACCCUCUCCCAAUGCUUUUAGAAAGACCUUCCCCCAAGCAACUUGUUAACAGGUAGUGAUUACAGGGUUAUAAAAAUACUUCACAGUUGAUAUGGCAUUACCAUUAAAAUAUCAGAUAGCUGUGAGACAGCUGCCAGAGAGAUAGCACAAGAACAAAGGUGAGAAGUGUAAAUAACCCAGAAAGAACAAGUAGUCUGAUUCAUGUAUCCAGCACGGGUGUUGAGAGACUGAAUUAAGAGCAGCAUUUGUCCAGCACUGAACUCAGAAACCAGAGGCUGAGGACAAUGAGAAGUAGAAAACAACCCUAGUUAUUUUGGCAAGAAGUUGGAGGUAAACCCAACAACAUAGUGAUUGGCAGGUUCACAUUACCUCAGAGGGCAGGAGCACACAUAAAAUGACCUGAAACCAGACAAUUCCCCUGCCCCGCUUCACAGUCUCUCUACCAUGGCAGCAUAAAACUCCUUCAGAAACAACCAGGGAGGUGUUGGAUUUGCUACUGCACAGUGGAAUUUGCUACUCGUUCAACCAGCAUUAGUUCUGGAGCGGAUGUGCCUUUGGAGAUCCAGAGAAGCUGCUCUCUUGUUCCCUCUCUCCCUGGCUGCUCCCUCAGAAUUGAAGAGUGCUCCAGUUCCCCGUGUAGAAAGCUGCAGGUAUGCUGCUCUCCCCUAUGUGCAGGUUUGGCUUCUAAUGGGGCAUGCUGUGUUAGGUUUAUGCAGAAUAUUCCUUCUUGACUAUAGUCUGACCACUUCAGUAAUUUAGCUGCUGCCUUCACUGUAGCUCUGCACUCAGCAUUAAGCCGAAGAAAAUAGUUUCUGAGGGUGGAUGACCUCAAAGUGCACUAUGAGUGUCCAGUAAAGAGCUGUGCACCUAGGCUAUGUCUACAUUGGCAUGAUUUUGCGCAAGAACUCUUUUGCAGAAGAGUUCUUGUGCAAAAACUCUUCCAGAAGAGAGUGUCUA
Molecule: long non-coding RNA, 1733 nt
Organism: Pelodiscus sinensis (Chinese soft-shelled turtle)
Lineage: Eukaryota; Metazoa; Chordata; Testudines; Trionychidae
Source: RefSeq, a predicted model, not a curated record